AACACCACUGUAAUGGAGGCACAUCAGAACUGAAGUAUGCGUGCUUUCUAAAAUGAUGCCAGUGAUUCCUCUGUUCCUUUAAAGACAGCAUGGCUAAAACACAGCCAGCUAAUGACUUUAAACAGAUUCUACCCUGUUCCAACCACCAGCAGACAUAGACUGGAAAUUGUCCAAGCUUGCCCCUUUCCUGGUGCUUACUGAAACAACAGCAACAACAAUAGAAUGUGUGUGGUGGGGGAACACCCUACAAUACAUAAAAAUAGUUCCUUGGACUCCCGUUCAGUUUCUGGCUGUCCCAUGGUUACUUCUGCAAAGAGUGAAGAGAUAGAUUCUACGUAUAGAUGGUUCCAUUUUCCUUAAAAGUGUGACUCUGAGUCUUGGCUUCCUCUUCUAUUUUUUUAAAAAAAGUUUUUGUCCUUUCAGAUUAGAUUAGUGGGAAACCCCCACUCACCCACCCAUUUUCACCCCAUAGCCCAGGCUCUCAGACCCUACCUCCAAGUGUUCUUAUCUCCUCCAUUUUCUGUUCUGUAAAUCUUCUCCCCUCGCUCCAGUGUCUAGGUGUCUCUCAUGUCCUACAGCCAACAUGUACACACUGCUGUUGCUGUGUUCAAAGACAAGGAUUAGUAUUAAUAAUUUCCCCCCAGGGAAUGAAAUACUGGAUCCAGGUUCCUUUAAAGCCUGUAGGUAUAGAAUGGAGUGUUGUCAUGAUGCAGAAAGGAGAAGAUUCUUGUAAAUAGGUUAUUUUAGCUCCUUUUGUUUGAUAAGAAUGGCUAGGAGAUAAAACUUUCCUCGAUGAUUUCCCACAUAAUUGUCUUUUUUUAUUAUUAUUGAUCACAUUUACACAUAGGAAUAUAUACACACAGCACUUGUUACAAGCCAUUUACACCCUGAGGUAGCUUGUAAAAAUAUGACAAUAUUCUUUGAUAAUGGUCCAGUGACACUUGCUAUUAUUAUUGUCAUUGUUAUUGUUACUGUUGUGGUGGUUGUUCUGUUGCAGCAGCGUCUCAAGGCCAGGGUCAGGGCCACAUUGUGCUAGUGUGUGCAAUUAAACGAUGGUUCCUUGCCUUUAAGAGUCUACAAAUUAAGUAUAAGACAAGAAACAACAGGUGGAUACAACAAACAGAGCACAAGGGAGCAGUGAGGUAGUUAUGAUUCAUGUAAUAAGCAGUGGUCAUAGCACACCAGUUGCCUAACCAUUGUCAAGUGUUCUGUAGGCAUGGUGAAACAGGUGUAUUUUAAGAAAGGUCUAAAAGAUGAUAACGUAGUGCCUUUGAAGAGCUUCUUCCUUUCACAAGAGGUGGCAUGGGAGAAAGCAUGAAGGUGCACGUUAGAAAAUUUGAAAUAUGGUGGUGUGGACCAUGAUAGCAUUAUAUUCUGGUAUAUUAUUACAUAUUUGUUUUGGGUCUCUUAGAUACAUGAGGGUGUUGGGGUUGGUCCUGCAUUGAGCAGGGAAUUUGACUAGAUGACCUCCUGCGGUCUCUUCCAACCCUAAUAUUCUAUGAAAUCUUGGCCCUGUUAAGUCAAUGGCGAAACUUCAUAUUGACUUCAGUUGUGCUAGCAUUUCACCCUGAGAGUAGGUACACCAAAGAAAAGGGGAGUUAUACAUGUAGCUUUUGAAUCAGUGUAUGCCUGAUAACACUUCAAAUGUGUUUGUAUAGUACAGGGCUAGUUACAGGACCUUCUGGGAGUGAGUAUUUUCCCUCUCCAGUUUACUCCCAUUGAGUUCAAUAGGAUUGCGUUCAUGAAUAAAGAUGCUCAAUGUGAAUAAGUGUUUGCAAGACAUAGCUGAAACAUAUGAUAUAUUCUCUCUCAUAUUUACUAUAUUCAAUACUGGAGAAUAUUUGUGUGUAUGGUAUUUUAUAUACAAGGUAAAAAAAUAAUUCAUACACAAUGACAUAUUGUGUCUGUCUCCAGUUAUUAUAUGAGUAUGUUAUUAAUCUGCUUAGAGUUCUGUAUAGGUUUCAUUUUUCAUGCCUCUGCUACUUAUAUACCUUCAGGCUUCUAAGUAAAUUAUAACAUAUUAAAAUUAUUUGUAUGGUUUUGGAUUCAUAUAAAUAAGUGGGCC
This is a long non-coding RNA of Dermochelys coriacea (leatherback sea turtle), 2065 nucleotides long. RefSeq lists it as uncharacterized. Lineage: Eukaryota; Metazoa; Chordata; Testudines; Dermochelyidae. The transcript is spliced from 3 exons. The record is from RefSeq and is a predicted model, not a curated record.